Molecule: RNA transcript, 3488 nt
Organism: Conger conger (European conger)
Lineage: Eukaryota; Metazoa; Chordata; Actinopteri; Anguilliformes; Congridae
Gene name: disintegrin and metalloproteinase domain-containing protein 8-like
Exons: 26
Source: RefSeq, a predicted model, not a curated record
UUCCUGGAAUAUACAGUUUAAGGUUGCGACUUAAAGCGAACAAACAAGCUUCCUACAAGUAAGCAAAUGCUCAGGAUAUGACGCAGAGGCGGGUCUCAUGUGAAGCUUGAAACUGUUUGACAGAUCGAUGUGUUGCAUUUUUCAGUUAUGAAACAUACUUUGCACUUCGCUGGGGCCAUGCUCUACAUUUCAACAAUUACAUUUCUCAUGUGCAUUUUUUCGUGGGGGUCGUUUGUCAGAAGUGCACGAGAACUACCUGAUGUAACGGACUACGAAAUAAUCAGACCUCAGAGAUUGAGCCGGACGAAACGGGGCCUCUCAUCAGAACAGGCACAUCCGGAAGUGCUUCAAUAUGCUUUGACUAUUGAGGGAAAAAGACACAAAAUCCACUUGGAGAAAAACAGGCAUCUCAUUGGGAAAAACUACACUGAGACAUACUAUUUAGAAGAUGGAACUGAAGUGACCACAUCCCCAGAUUAUGUGGAUCACUGCUAUUACCACGGACACAUUCAAGACGUUGAAGAUUCGUCUGUUAGUGUUGGAGUGUGCUCUGGAAUAAGGGGCUUUGUGCGGGCCGAACAGCAGGUGUACCUGAUCGAGCCCCUCAGUGACUCGGUGGAUGGGGACCAUGCGGUGUACAGGCAAGAGCACCGGAGAACCCAACGGAGCACCUGUGGGAACUCCAACGAGUCCUUCUAUGACCACGAGCCCAGAGUCUCCGGGGUGUACAAGCCAAACAGCCCGAAAAACAAAUUCCUGUUUGAUGGAAAGGAAAGAUUUGUUGAGCUUUAUUUGGUCAUUGACAAUGCAGAGUACAUAAACCUUGGCAGAGAUGAGCGGAGAAUAACGGCCAGAGCACUGGAAGUUGCAAGCCAUGUUGAUAAAUUGUAUCAGCCCUUGAACAUCCGAGUCAUGCUGAUUGGAAUGGAUGUUUGGUCAUCCAGGGAUCUGACUCCCAUCAGUCUUGAUUCUGAUAAGACCCUGAAUAAUUUUCUCCAGUGGAGGCAGGACACCCUUAUUAAAAAGGUCAAACAUGACAAUGCGCAGUUGAUCACUGGUGUUGAUUUUCUGGGCGACACUGUCGGCUUGGCACCCACAUCUGCUAUGUGUACUGGCCAGUCUGGAGCAGUGAAUCAGGGCAAGGGGAGGGACGCGGUGGCCGUAGCUUCCACCAUCGCUCACGAGAUGGGCCACAACCUGGGAAUGAGCCACGAUGAACAAGUGUGUACGUGUGGCCUGAGCUCCAGCACCAACUGCAUCAUGCAGAGCACUAUUGGCUCAGUUUACCCAGAGGCCUUCAGCAGCUGCAGUUAUCAGGACCUGGGCACGUUUCUACAGAACAGUGACCCUAGGUGCCUGAUGGACUCGCCGCACACUGACCGGCUCCUCGGGGGUCCCGUGUGCGGCAACGCCUUCCUGGAGGCUGGGGAGGAGUGCGACUGUGGAACGCAGAAGGAGUGCCAGAACCCGUGCUGUAACGCCACCACGUGUCGGCUGACGGCAGGGUCACACUGCGCUGCGGGGGAGUGCUGCGAGAACUGCCAGCUCAAACAGGUCGGACAGCUUUGCAGGGAGAGUGCAAACGACUGCGAUCUGGCGGAGUACUGCAGCGGGAAAUCAGCGCAGUGUCCGCAGGACGAGUUCAGGAUGAACGGCCUGUCCUGUGGCUCCGGGCAGGGGUACUGCUAUAACGGCCAGUGUCCGACAUACUUCCAGCACUGCCGAAGACUGUGGGGAUCAGGUGCACAGGUUGGAAGGGAUUUAUGCUUUCAUGAAAAUAUAUAUGGCAGCGACCACGCUUACUGCAAAAAGACCGCAAGUGGCAAUGUGGGCUGCACAAGGAAAAAUAUGAAAUGCGGAAAGAUAUUCUGCACCGGAGGGAAGAACUUUCCUAUUACCGGAAGAUUGGUCAGUUACCCUAGGGGUCCGGAAGUUUGCAAAUUAGCCGUGGAUAAUUCUGGAAUAGAAGACAUUGGCAUGGUGCCGACAGGAACAAAAUGUGGGGAUAAAAGGGUGUGCUACGACAACGCCUGCCAUGACAUUAAAGUGUACGGUGGAGAUGACUGCUCUGACAAGUGCAGCAAACAUGGGGUCUGUAACCAUGAGAGGCAAUGCCACUGUGAUCCUGGCUGGGAGCCACCCUACUGUGCUGUGAAAAGUGAUUUUGAUAAAGGUAAGAACUCUGUGGUCAUAGGAGUGUCGGUGUCAGUGGUCAUUCUGAUCCUGCUCACCCUCGUUGUUGGAGGGCUCAUGUGCUGCAGAAAAGAGAAAAAAGAAAUCUUCACAGGCAAAACGCAUGUGAGCCAUAUCUCAGGCCUGUCAAACCCACUGUUCCACUCAGCCAGUGCCACAAACAGCCCUCGCUGUGGACCCCCUCGAGUUGGUCAGCCCACCUUAGUGGAAUCAUCUGCCUCUCCGGCACGCUGCCCCACCUACGUCACAGUUAUGCCCAGCAGGGCCCCGCCCCAGCCACCAAAGAAACUGGCAUCUGAGGGGCUUCAAUCAAACUCUGCACAGUUUGUGAAGCCCAGUGUUCCAGUUCCUGCUUCCUCGAAUAAGAUGGCACCUUCGCAGGGAAUACCAUUACCUCCAACAAAGCCUUUACCAAUCCUUCAUGUUAAUCAAGUGAAGAAGCCUAAUUCACAUCCACCGUUACCCCCUAUGAAGCCACCGGGACCAAAACCAUCUGGAAAUCGGCAUCAAACACACCAGAUACUCAACUGAGUAUUCUUAAAAUUGGAAAUUUGGUCACAGCACCUUUCAAGAUGAAACGCCGUUCCACUGAAACCCCUGACCAAGCCAAGAUGAAUGCACAGAAAGAUCAGUGCUGAUUCACUCAUAACUUUGGAGGUCUGCAGCUUGCGUCAGAAGGUGGCAUCUCCGAUGAUGCAGAAGCAACGCUUUCAAAUCUGCCCCUGCCUUUGAGGAAGAGAGGGUCUGAAAGGAUUCAGGACUGUUGAUGAUUGGGUGGCUGUGGGUACAACUGCCGAUAUGGGUUUAAUUUUCUAUUUGGGUUUAAGUUAGAGAAGCAAAGCUUACUUUAUUUGCAUGAAGCUGAAGGUGUUUUUACCGCAUAUUCUGGUUUUAAGCAGGUUUACAUUUCACACAACAGAAUCAAUCAAUGUCAUGCUGCAUGUAGAAUCAUGUCUGUCCUACAAAAGGUUUUGUUCAUUGCUCACCCCUGAUGAUACCUGUAGUUGUAUCUGUACAGACUUCAGACCAGUACAGCAGUGUCAUAUUUUCCCAUUUUAGUGUCUGACUGAUACUGAGUGAUGUAAAAAAUGCAGCCAGGACCAAAAAAUGUUUAAAUAAACAAAAAGGCACUUUAAAAAUCUCUUAAAGGAGUUUUCACCUGUUUUAACUGAUAAGUCUUUGUCUUUCUAUGUUUUUUGUAUUUGUAUUACAUUUUUUAAUGUUGCUUUAUAUUUAUUUUUGAGUAACUAAUAUGUAUUUUCUUCUGCAAAUAUUAAAAUCUAUUUUAAAGCCAA